RNAcentral lists this ribosomal RNA (494 nucleotides) under uncultured bacterium. RNAcentral's name for it is "partial 16S ribosomal RNA". It matches the Rfam family "Bacterial small subunit ribosomal RNA", at positions 28 to 507 of the family's 1533-position model. The record is from RNAcentral.
GACGAACGCUGGCGGCGUGCUUAACACAUGCAAGUCGAACGGAAAGGCCUGCUUUCCCUUGUGGAUUGCGGGUACUCGAGUGGCGAACGGGUGAGUAACACGUGAGUGAUCUGCCCCAAACUUGGGUAUAAGUCCGGGUAACUGGGUCUAAUUUCCGAUAGGACCGAUGGGUGGUGCCUGUGGUGGAAAACGAUGUUCUAGUGGCUGGGGAUGAGCUCGCGGCCUAUAAGCUGGUUGGUGGGGUAAUGGCCUACCAAGGCGGCGACGGGUAGCCGGCCUGAGAGCGUGGACUGGCUCAUUAGGACUGAGAUACAGCCCAGGCCCCUACGGCAGGCAGCAGUGGUGAAUAUUGCACAAUGGGCGAAAGCCUGAUGCAGCGACGCCGCGUGAGGGAUGACGGCCUUCGGGUUGUAAACUCCUUUCGACCGCGAGGGAGCCACCUGGUUGGAAGGGUGGUGACGGUAGUGAUAGAAGAAGCACCGGCUAACUACGUG